UACGGAGGGCGCGAGCGUUGUCCGGAAUCACUGGGCGUAAAGGGCGCGUAGGCGGCCGGGGCAGUCGCUGGUGAAAGCCCGGGGCUCAACCCCGGGUCGGCCAGCGAUACUCCCCGGCUGGAGUGCCGUAGGGGCAGGCGGAAUUCCGGGUGUAGCGGUGGAAUGCGUAGAGAUCCGGAAGAACACCGGUGGCGAAGGCGGCCUGCUGGGCGGCGACUGACGCUGAGGCGCGACAGCGUGGGGAGCAAACAGG
Molecule: ribosomal RNA, 253 nt
Filed under: uncultured bacterium
Lineage: Bacteria
Description: partial 16S ribosomal RNA
Rfam family: Bacterial small subunit ribosomal RNA
Source: RNAcentral